Molecule: ribosomal RNA, 374 nt
Filed under: uncultured eukaryote
Lineage: Eukaryota
Description: partial 18S ribosomal RNA
Rfam family: Eukaryotic small subunit ribosomal RNA
Source: RNAcentral
CAAGAGCGUAUGUAAAAGUUGUUGCAGUUAAAAAGCUCGUAGUUGAACCUUGGGUUUGGUUGGCCGGUCCGCUUUUUUGCGAGUACUGGAUUCAACCGAGCCUUCCCUUCUGGCUAACCAGUCGUUUCGGCGGCUGGCGAACCAGGAUUUUUACUUUGAGAAAAUUAGAGUGUUCAAAGCAGGCAUUAGCUUGAAUAUAUUAGCAUGGAAUAAUAGAAUAGGACGUUAUGGUUCUAUUUUGUUGGUUUCUAGGACCAUCGUAAUGAUUAAUAGGGACGGUCGGGGGCAUCAGUAUUCAGUUGUCAGAGGUGAAAUUCUUGGAUUUACUGAAGACUAACUACUGCGAAAGCAUUUGCCAAGGACGUUUUCAUUAA